RNAcentral lists this ribosomal RNA (442 nucleotides) under uncultured bacterium. Its description in RNAcentral is "partial 16S ribosomal RNA". It matches the Rfam family "Bacterial small subunit ribosomal RNA", at positions 338 to 795 of the family's 1533-position model. The record is from RNAcentral.
CCUACGGGGGGCAGCAGUAGGGAAUCUUUCACAAUGGGCGAAAGCCUGAUGGAGCAACGCCGCGUGCAGGAUGAAGGCCUUCGGGUUGUAAACUGCUUUUAUAAGCGAGAAAUAUGAUGGUAACUUAUGAAUAAGGAUCGGCUAACUACGUGCCAGCAGCCGCGGUCAUACGUAGGAUCCGAGCAUUAUCCGGAGUGACUGGGUGUAAAGAGUUGCGUAGGUGGCAUAAUAAGUAGCUAGUGAAAUCUGGUGGCUCAACCAUUCAGACUAUUAGCUAAACUGUUAAGCUCGAGACCGUUAGGGGUAACUGGAAUUUCUAGUGUAGGAGUGAAAUCCGUAGAUAUUAGAAGGAACACCAAUAGCGUAGGCAGGUUGCUGGGACGGUUCUGACACUAAGGCACGAAAGCGUAGGGAGCAAACGGGAUUGGAUACCCCUGUAGUC